Molecule: long non-coding RNA, 1508 nt
Organism: Apis florea (little honeybee)
Lineage: Eukaryota; Metazoa; Arthropoda; Insecta; Hymenoptera; Apidae
Source: RefSeq, a predicted model, not a curated record
AUAUUUCAUGAUUAUCCUAACCCAACUUCAUAAAUGAAAAUAAUUUUUACGAUUUUGAAUAUUCGAAUUAUAGCUUCUUUCUUCUGUUGUUAUAUUAUGUACCGCGUGGUGUCAGGAUUGUCAACAAAGGCGUCUGAAGUGGGGAUAAAUGGUCGUGGCGAAGGACUACCCGUCUUGCCCCUGUGCCGUCCCGCGAAACUUCUUUCCAGCGUGAACAGUAGUUGAUAUUUCUACGAAGAAGAGAAUGGUGGGAAUUUUCGUUCUGAUCUGUUUUGCCGAUUGAAAGAUUUCUGGUGUAUCUAUCGAUCAGUAUAUAUCUUGAUAUAUCGUACAUUGGCUAGGAUUAUGCGAGCAGUUGAAUUAAUAAAAAAUAAUUACAAUCGUUUCCAUUGCAAAUAAUAAAAGUGUGGAAUAACGAUAAGUGUAAACUGUUUGGUAACUGUAAAGUGCGUUUUUGAAUAAUCAAAUUUCCAGGCUACAAUAAUAUACAAACGUUUUAUAAGCGUGCAAUCAUAAAAUCAAACAUUUCACUUAUUUACAACACGUUUCCAACUGUUCGACAAGUUUCGAUCGUCAAUUAUUUUUUAUCGUCAAUUAACUGUCCCCUUAAUAAUUUUUUUUUAUCGGGAUUCAAUGUAAGUGAACGCAACCUGGAAGAUUAUUUAAAUUAGCCUAGCUUUAACAACAGUUUGUUUAUUCCUCUCUUCGUGAAUAAUCCAUUAAAAAAUUAUUUUACGAGAUUCCAAGACAAGGCGAGUGAAAGAAGUGAUUCCAACAAUUUUCUUAUAAUAAUCUUAUUUGAAAAGAAGAAUCUUGAAACGAAAAAUGAUGAAACCAGAUGAUGUUAAUGAUGAUGAUGAUGAUGAUGAUGAUGGAAUUCUCUCUUCUUUAUUUAUGGGUAGAGAAAGAUUACGCAACAUUUAUUGUCUUGGCUUUGUGUCGAAUUUUUAACCGAGGAAAUUAGAUUAGCAUUGUUACUUAUAUAAUACAAAAAAAAAAUAAAUAAUAUUCCAUUCAUAACGUUAUUCGGUAUUACGUGACCUGUAUACAAUAUAAAAAGAGAUUAUGCUAUAUUCACAAAAGACAAUAACAACAAGUACACCAAGUUCAAGUAAAAUUAAUCUCUUUCUUUAAAAGGAUUCAAUUCAUUUCCAAUUUUAAUUUUUCUUAAAAAAACUUGAAUUCAUCUCUCGAUACAAACACAACAAUAGCAACAGAAAAUAUUUUAUCCACGAGAUGCCUACUCGUAAGAGAAAAAAUUCCACUUUUCUCUGUCACUUUAUCGUAUACCUCUAAUUAACAUGGAGUGGAAAAAAUGCGAGGCAAUUAUCCGCGUUAAAACCAAGCUGGCUCAUUGGCUCCGUUAAAGUUCACGCGAAGAGAACGAAGGGGAUAUAUAUAUAUAUAUAUAUAUUAUCGAAGCUCGUCGAGGCUUUCUGGAUGACUAGCGAUUUCGAUGACCUUAAAUUUCCCGUGAAAUGAGAAAUACGCGUGAUUCAUCCGUCGAG